This 620-nucleotide ribosomal RNA is filed under the name uncultured Acinetobacter sp. RNAcentral's name for it is "bacterial SSU rRNA". It matches the Rfam family "Bacterial small subunit ribosomal RNA", at positions 79 to 694 of the family's 1533-position model. Lineage: Bacteria; Pseudomonadati; Pseudomonadota; Gammaproteobacteria; Moraxellales; Moraxellaceae. The record is from RNAcentral.
CUUGCACCUUAUCUUAGCGGCGGACGGGUGAGUAAUGCUUAGGAAUCUGCCAUUUAGUGGGGGACAACAUUCCGAAAGGAAUGCUAAUACCGCAUACGUCCUACGGGAGAAAGCAGGGGAUCUUCGGACCUUGCGCUAAAUGAUGAGCCUAAGUCGGAUUAGCUAGUUGGUGGGGUAAAGGCCUACCAAGGCGACGAUCUGUAGCGGGUCUGAGAGGAUGAUCCGCCACACUGGGACUGAGACACGGCCCAGACUCCUACGGGAGGCAGCAGUGGGGAAUAUUGGACAAUGGGCGGAAGCCUGAUCCAGCCAUGCCGCGUGUGUGAAGAAGGCCUUUUGGUUGUAAAGCACUUUAAGCGAGGAGGAGGCUACUAGUACUAAUACUACUGGAUAGUGGACGUUACUCGCAGAAUAAGCACCGGCUAACUCUGUGCCAGCAGCCGCGGUAAUACAGAGGGUGCGAGCGUUAAUCGGAUUUACUGGGCGUAAAGCGUGCGUAGGCGGCUUUUUAAGUCGGAUGUGAAAUCCCCGAGCUUAACUUGGGAAUUGCAUUCGAUACUGGGAAGCUAGAGUAUGGGAGAAGAUGGUAGAAUUCCAGGUGUAGCGGUGAAAUGCGUAGA